Molecule: non-coding RNA, 28 nt
Filed under: Homo sapiens (human)
Lineage: Eukaryota; Metazoa; Chordata; Mammalia; Primates; Hominidae
Source: RNAcentral
UGGUGGAAAGCAUUAGGCCUAUGUGGUU